RNAcentral lists this ribosomal RNA (465 nucleotides) under uncultured bacterium. RNAcentral describes it as "bacterial SSU rRNA". It matches the Rfam family "Bacterial small subunit ribosomal RNA", at positions 338 to 795 of the family's 1533-position model. The record is from RNAcentral.
CCUACGGGCCGCAGCAGUGGGGAAUAUUGCACAAUGGGCGCAAGCCUGAUGCAGCCAUGCCGCGUGUGUGAAGAAGGCCUUCGGGUUGUAAGGCACUUUCAGCGGGGAGGAAGGCGAUAAGGUUAAUAACCUUGUCGAUUGACGUUACCCGCAGAAGAAGCACCGGCUAACUCCGUGCCAGCAGCCGCGGUAAUACGGAGGGUGCAAGCGUUAAUCGGAAUUACUGGGCGUAAAGCGCACGCAGGCGGUCUGUCAAGUCGGAUGUGAAAUCCCCGGGCUCAACCUGGGAACUGCAUUCGAAACUGGCAGGCUAGAGUCUUGUAGAGGGGGGUAGAAUUCCAGGUGUAGCGGUGAAAUGCGUAGAGAUCUGGAGGAAUACCGGUGGCGAAGGCGGCCCCCUGGACAACGACUGACGCUCAGGUGCGAAAGCGUGGGGAGCAAACAGGAUUAGAUACCCUAGUAGUC